This 498-nucleotide long non-coding RNA is filed under the name Prunus persica (peach). RNAcentral's name for it is "long non-coding RNA (PPER_LNC000990)". The record is from RNAcentral. Lineage: Eukaryota; Viridiplantae; Streptophyta; Magnoliopsida; Rosales; Rosaceae.
UCCAUAGAAAAUUUUAAAAACUAGAACAUCCUUUCAAUAGAUCCAAGUAAUCCCACCACAGAGUCUGAGCUAUUUAGACUCAAUUAGAAAAGAAUUCACAAACUUCCUUCGGUGUAAAGUGAACCAUCAUGGUUAUGGAGACUUGACUAAAACCCUUACCACUCAUCCCUUUUAUUCAUACUUCACACACUCCACACUUUUUAUUUUCCCUUUCUUCUUCUUUUUUUUUCUUCUUUUUUUUUUUUUUUUUUUUUGGUGUAUAAAUAGUAACAGUAGUGGUUGUGCAAUGUUGGUUCCUUUAAGCUUUCGAUCCAACCGUGUAGCGAGACUUAGGUCAAUGUCUCCCAAACCACUCGGGUUUUAGGGCACUAGGUGUAGAACACCCCUAAGGACUUAUUAACUCAAGCUGAAAAGGCUACGAAACCAACUAACCACCCUGCCUCAUGCCAAAACUCUACCAUUUGUCUCGAGGAUCACUGCUGAUUAGGCAAGACUGGC